UUCCCUUUUCUUUUCUUUUUCAUUGAGCUCAUCUUCAUGCUUUUCUUCUUUNCUUUUCUUUUUCUCAUGAAUUUUUCUCUUUUCACAACAAUUGAGCUCAAUGCCUUUCACUUGCUUUUUCAAUUUUCCCCCGUACAACCCCAAACUUGAACCUUUUCAUCACAUACACUUAAGCUCAUCCCAACUCAAGGUAAAGANUUUCAAAACAAGGGUUCACAUACUGUUUAAGGCUAAGGUUCAAAAAGGA
Molecule: long non-coding RNA, 247 nt
Filed under: Vigna radiata
Lineage: Eukaryota; Viridiplantae; Streptophyta; Magnoliopsida; Fabales; Fabaceae
Description: long non-coding RNA (VRAD_LNC006671)
Source: RNAcentral